UCCAAGAUGUUGAUCAGUUUGUUCAGGGUCCUUUUGUCAGAUACACAUCUGUGCAUGGAGGAUCACCACAGGCCUGAGGUGUGGUCAGGAGAGGACAAGCUGGACUUGGAUAGCUGGUACCUCACCCCUUUGCCAUGAUGAAGGUAAACACCGCUGCACCGGAGGGGUUCAGAGCCUGAGAACAUGACCGCAUCACAUCCCCCGCACACAACACUUGCCUUACCCCACACUGCAGUCCUUGACCUGAGACCACCUGGCCAAGGGUACUGCUACGUCCACUCAUGCGAGAUCUCCUCGCCACUGAGAUAGGGCGUGGAGGAGAUGGAAAGGGACAGGAGACCCUGGGAAUACUUAGCAGACCUUGGGGCUCUUAGUACACUCAAUGUAGUCAAAACUUACUUACACCUACUCAAUUAUAUAGUCUAUAGCAGUGGUCUCCAACACGGUGCC
Alosa alosa (allis shad) is the source of this 450-nucleotide long non-coding RNA. RefSeq lists it as uncharacterized. The transcript has 3 exons. NCBI's taxonomy places the organism in Eukaryota, Metazoa, Chordata, Actinopteri, Clupeiformes, Clupeidae. The record is from RefSeq and is a predicted model, not a curated record.